CAGCUUCUUCUUUAUUUAGCUCAUAUUCUAAAUCCACCAAAACUUCCAUAUUAGCCAAAGCAUCAAAUUGGGAUCCUGAUUUUCCUUUCUCCUUAAAGUUUGUUUUAUUUAUAUUAUUAUUCCUGGGAUUACGCUUUACUUUCCUUUCGAUCACUGUCCAUGGCCCGUAAACGGCGCCUUCUCCUCAGCUUACAGCCUCUAUCGGAGUAGCGCAUUUCUAAUUCUUUCCCGAUGUGAGAUCUGGUUGCAGCGAAGCACACAGCUCCUUAGUAUGACCGUACUUCCCGCAAGUAAAACAAAUUGUAGGCAACGCUUCAUACUCAACUUUUUAAUGUAAACCAUUCAUAAGAACUUGAACGAUCAGAGGCUUGUCCAGGUUGACAUAAACGGCCAUCCUGGCAAAGCGACCUCUAAUUCGACUAUUGGUAUUGAAAUCUAACCGAACAACUUUUCCAA
This 456-nucleotide long non-coding RNA is filed under the name Gossypium barbadense (sea-island cotton). RNAcentral's name for it is "long non-coding RNA (GBAR_LNC002610)". The record is from RNAcentral. Lineage: Eukaryota; Viridiplantae; Streptophyta; Magnoliopsida; Malvales; Malvaceae.